RNAcentral lists this transfer RNA (71 nucleotides) under Camelus bactrianus (Bactrian camel). It matches the Rfam family "tRNA". From Rfam's summary of the family: Transfer RNA (tRNA) molecules are approximately 80 nucleotides in length. Their secondary structure includes four short double-helical elements and three loops (D, anti-codon, and T loops). Further hydrogen bonds mediate the characteristic L-shaped molecular structure. tRNAs have two regions of fundamental functional importance: the anti-codon, which is responsible for specific mRNA codon recognition, and the 3' end, to which the tRNAs corresponding amino acid is attached (by aminoacyl-tRNA synthetases). tRNAs cope with the degeneracy of the genetic code in two manners: having more than one tRNA (with a specific anti-codon) for a particular amino acid; and 'wobble' base-pairing, i.e. permitting non-standard base-pairing at the 3rd anti-codon position. The record is from Rfam by way of RNAcentral. RNAcentral also lists the same sequence under 2 other names. Lineage: Eukaryota; Metazoa; Chordata; Mammalia; Artiodactyla; Camelidae.
GAUGAUAUAACUCAGUGGCAGAGCGCAUGCUAGCAUGUAUGAGGUCCUGGGUUCAAUUCCCAGUACCUCCA